Molecule: ribosomal RNA, 754 nt
Filed under: swine manure pit bacterium B3
Lineage: Bacteria
Description: bacterial SSU rRNA
Rfam family: Bacterial small subunit ribosomal RNA
Source: RNAcentral
UCAGGACGAACGCUGGCGGCGUGCCUAAUACAUGCAAGUAGAACGCUGAAGGAAGGAGCUUGCUUCUUCUGGAUGAGUUGCGAACGGGUGAGUAACGCGUAGGUAACCUGCCUGAUAGCGGGGGAUAACUAUUGGAAACGAUAGCUAAUACCGCAUAAGAGGUAAUAACACAUGUUAUUAGUUUAAAAGGGGCAAUUGCUCCACUAUCAGAUGGACCUGCGUUGUAUUAGNUAGUUGGUAAGGUAACGGCUUACCAAGGCGACGAUACAUAGCCGACCUGAGAGGGUGAUCGNCCACACUGGGACUGAGACACGGCCCAGACUCCUACGGGAGGCAGCAGUAGGGAAUCUUCGGCAAUGGGGGCAACCCUGACCGAGCAACGCCGCGUGAGUGAAGAAGGUUUUCGGAUCGUAAAGCUCUGUUGUAAGAGAAGAACGGAUGUGGGAGUGGAAAAUCCAUGUCGUGACGGUAUCUUACCAGAAAGGGACGGCUAACUACGUGCCAGCAGCCGCGGUAAUACGUAGGUCCCGAGCGUUGUCCGGAUUUAUUGGGCGUAAAGCGAGCGCAGGCGGUUUCAUAAGUCUGAAGUUAAAGGCAGUGGCUUAACCAUUGUACGCUUUGGAAAUCUGUGAGACUUGAGUGCAGAAGGGGACGANGUGGAAUUCCAUGUGUACGCGGUGAAAUGCGUACGAUAUAUGGAGGAACUCCAGUGGCGAAAGCGGCUCCUCUGGUACUGUAACUGACCGCUAGGCUC